Long non-coding RNA from Rhinolophus ferrumequinum (greater horseshoe bat), 253 nucleotides. RefSeq lists it as uncharacterized. Lineage: Eukaryota; Metazoa; Chordata; Mammalia; Chiroptera; Rhinolophidae. The transcript has 3 exons. The record is from RefSeq and is a predicted model, not a curated record.
CGGACGCACUCGAACUGAUUUCAGCAUCUGACAUGGUCACGAGCUCUCUGGUUGCAUCUAUGUUGUAGGAGCAUGGAGACCAAUAAUGACACACUCGAGCUGAUUAAGCAUUUUCCUAUGGUGGCGAGUUCUGUAAUUCUCAUCUCUGUAUUAGGAGCACAGAGACCAAUAGUGGACGCACUCGAACUGAUUUUAGCAUUUUCCAUGGUCAUGGGCUCUCUGGUUGCGUCUAUGCUUUCAGAGCAUGGAGAGC